RNAcentral lists this ribosomal RNA (1012 nucleotides) under Protodrilus sp. 10 MDD-2014. Its description in RNAcentral is "eukaryotic LSU rRNA". It matches the Rfam family "Eukaryotic large subunit ribosomal RNA", at positions 77 to 926 of the family's 3401-position model. Lineage: Eukaryota; Metazoa; Annelida; Polychaeta; Protodrilidae. The record is from RNAcentral.
CCCCUAGUAACGGCGAGUGAAGCGGGAAGAGCCCAUCUCUAAAAUCUCCGUGGUGCUAACUACGGCGAAUUGUGAGGUGAAGGAUGGUUUGUACAGGCGCGCGGACGGGCAGAAGUUUCGCUGAGUCGGACGCCAGAGAGGGUGUGAGCCCCGUAUGCGGUUCGUUCGCGUGCGUGCAUAUCCAUUCCGUAGAGUCGGGUUGUUUGGGAAUGCAGCCCAAAUUUGGUGGUAAACUCCAUCUAAGGCUAAAUAUGCGGACGAGACCGAUAGCGAACAAGUACCGUGAGGGAAAGUUGAAAAGCACUUUGAAGAGAGAGUUCAAGAGUACGUGAAACCGUCGAGAGGUAAACGGUGGAGGCAGCUCAAGCGCCCGUCGAGAUUCAGGCUGUGGCUUUCGCGUGCGCGGGGUGGGCGGAUCCGAAUGGACCGCCGCCUCGCGCCACUCGUGGGUCGCAGUCGCACUUCCCGACGGGAUGCGCACACGACCGAUUGCCCGGGGGUGAAGGAUCGCCGUCGGUGGGGCAGGCUUCGGCAGGCUUUCAGACGGUCGUUUGCGGCCCUCUGGGCGAUCGUGGAGGUGAGGAGUACCGGCGCUUCGGUGCCUACCGGCGUUUCUCCGGCAUGCUGUCGACCAUGGCGGACUGCUUGCAGUGCGCUUGAACUGCUGUGUGUCGUCGGGAGCGUGCGGGUAGUUUGGGUACUUCCUGUCUGUGUAACAGUUGUUCUUUACCGACCCGUCUUGAAACACGGACCAAGGAGUCUAACAUGUGUGCGAGUCUCACGGGUGAUGAAACCCGCAGGCGUAAUGAAAGUGAGCAGGUGGGAAGGUCGCAAGACCCGCACCGCCGUCCCGUCCCGUCGUCUUGUACGAGGGGCGGAGAAGGAGCAUACACGUUGGGACCCGAAAGAUGGUGAACUAUGCCUGAACAGGAUGAAGCCAGAGGAAACUCUGGUGGAGGUCCGCAGCGAUUCUGACGUGCAAAUCGAUCGUCUGAUUUGGGUAUAGGGGCGA